CCUACGGGAGGCAGCAGUGAGGAAUAUUGGUCAAUGGACGAGAGUCUGAACCAGCCAAGUAGCGUGAAGGAUGACUGCCCUAUGGGUUGUAAACUUCUUUUAUAUGGGAAUAAAAUGUUCCACGUGUGGGAUUUUGUAUGUACCAUAUGAAUAAGGAUCGGCUAACUCCGUGCCAGCAGCCGCGGUAAUACGGAGGAUCCGAGCGUUAUCCGGAUUUAUUGGGUUUAAAGGGAGCGUAGGUGGAUUGUUAAGUCAGUUGUGAAAGUUUGCGGCUCAACCGUAAAAUUGCAGUUGAAACUGGCAGUCUUGAGUACAGUAGAGGUGGGCGGAAUUCGCGGUGUAGCGGUGAAAUGCUUAGAUAUCACGAAGAACUCCGAUUGCGAAGGCAGUUCACUGGACUGCAACUGACACUGAGGCUCGAAAGUGUGGAUAUCAAACAGGAUUAGAUACCCGAGUAGUC
Molecule: ribosomal RNA, 460 nt
Filed under: uncultured bacterium
Lineage: Bacteria
Description: partial 16S ribosomal RNA
Rfam family: Bacterial small subunit ribosomal RNA
Source: RNAcentral